AGCGCAGACGGUUGAUUAAGUCUGAUGUGAAAGCCCGGAGCUCAACCCCGGAAUGGCAUUGGAAACUGGUUAACUUGAGUGCAGUAGAGGUAAGUGGAACUCCAUGUGUAGCGGUGGAAUGCGUAGAUAUAUGGAAGAACACCAGUGGCGAAGGCGGCUUACUGGACUGUAACUGACGUUGAGGCUCGAAAGUGUGGUAGCAAACA
RNAcentral lists this ribosomal RNA (206 nucleotides) under uncultured bacterium. RNAcentral's name for it is "partial 16S ribosomal RNA". It matches the Rfam family "Bacterial small subunit ribosomal RNA", at positions 568 to 774 of the family's 1533-position model. The record is from RNAcentral.